AUUGAACGCUGGCGGCAUGCCUUACACAUGCAAGUCGAACGGCAGCACAGGAAGUUCCACCUGGUACCGAUUGCGGGAGGCGGAAGUGUUACAUCGGAACCUGUACCGUCUUGGUCGAUAGCCAUACCGAAGCCAGAUUAAUACUACAAACGAAUACCACAUGCAGGCGGGAGCCGUGCAUGUCUCGCGCUAUCGCGUUUGCCGAUGGCGGAUUAGCUAGUUGGUGGGGUAAAGGCCUACCAAGGCGACGAUCAGUAGCUGGUCUGAGAGGACGAUCAGCCACACUGGAACUGAGACACGGUCCAGACUCCUACGGGAGGCAGCAGUGGGGAAUAUUGGACAAUGGGCGAAAGCCUGAUCCAGCAAUGCCGCGUGUGUGAAGAAGGCCUUCGGGUUGUAAAGCACUUUUGUUCGGAAAGAAAAGCUGGGCUUUAAUACAGUCGGGGUAUGACGGUACCGGAAGAAUAAGCACCGGCUAACUACGUG
RNAcentral lists this ribosomal RNA (486 nucleotides) under uncultured bacterium. RNAcentral's name for it is "partial 16S ribosomal RNA". It matches the Rfam family "Bacterial small subunit ribosomal RNA", at positions 30 to 507 of the family's 1533-position model. The record is from RNAcentral.